GACGAACGCUGGCGGCGUGCUUAACACAUGCAAGUCGAACGGAAAGGCCCCCACUUUUUUGGUGGGGGUGCUCGAGUGGCGAACGGGUGAGUAACACGUGGGUGAUCUGCCCUGUACUUCGGGAUAAGCUUGGGAAACUGGGUCUAAUACCGGAUAGGACCAUGGUUUAGUGUCUCAUGGUGGAAAAAUUAUUGUUUUGGUGCAGGAUGAGCUCGCGGCCUAUCAGCUUGUUGGUGGGGUAAUGGCCUACCAAGGCGUCGACGGGUAGCCGGCCUGAGAGGGUGGACGGCCACAUUGGGACUGAGAUACGGCCCAGACUCCUACGGGAGGCAGCAGUGGGGAAUAUUGCACAAUGGGCGCAAGCCUGAUGCCGCGACGCCGCGUGGGGGAUGACGGCCUUCGGGUUGUAAACUCCUUUCGUUAGGGACGAAGCCGCACCUUUUUUGGGUGUGGUGACGGUACCUUUGUUAAGAAGCACCGGCUAACUACGUG
RNAcentral lists this ribosomal RNA (492 nucleotides) under uncultured bacterium. RNAcentral describes it as "partial 16S ribosomal RNA". It matches the Rfam family "Bacterial small subunit ribosomal RNA", at positions 28 to 507 of the family's 1533-position model. The record is from RNAcentral.